RNAcentral lists this transfer RNA (69 nucleotides) under Cranuca inversa. RNAcentral describes it as "tRNA-Gln". Lineage: Eukaryota; Metazoa; Arthropoda; Malacostraca; Decapoda; Ocypodidae. The record is from RNAcentral. RNAcentral also lists the same sequence under 2 other names.
UAUACGUUGAUGUAAAGUGCAUAAAAAGUUUUGAUCUUUAAAGAAAUGGUGCGAUUCCAUUACGUUUAA